Molecule: transfer RNA, 74 nt
Filed under: Staphylococcus haemolyticus
Lineage: Bacteria; Bacillati; Bacillota; Bacilli; Caryophanales; Staphylococcaceae
Also listed under: 1 other name
Description: tRNA-Pro
Rfam family: tRNA
About the family: Transfer RNA (tRNA) molecules are approximately 80 nucleotides in length. Their secondary structure includes four short double-helical elements and three loops (D, anti-codon, and T loops).
Source: RNAcentral
CGGGAAGUAGCUCAGUUUGGUAGAGCACUUGGUUUGGGACCAAGGGGUCGUAGGUUCGAAUCCUGUCUUCCCGA